Molecule: ribosomal RNA, 351 nt
Filed under: uncultured bacterium
Lineage: Bacteria
Description: bacterial SSU rRNA
Rfam family: Bacterial small subunit ribosomal RNA
Source: RNAcentral
UAAUAGCGGGAGGCACGCAGUGGGGAAAUCUUGCGCAAUGGGCGAAAGCCUUGACGCUAGCCAACUGCCGCUGUGGGGGCAUGAAGCUUCUCGGAGUGUAAACCCCUUUCGACCCGGGACGAAUGCCCGCUAAGGGUUUGACGGUUCGGGUAUAAGAAGCCCCGGCUAACUACGUAGCCAGCAGCCGCGGUAAAGCGUAGGGGCCAGCGUUGCUCGGAAUUACUUGGGCGUAAAGGGUCCGUAGGCGGUGUGGCAAGUCGGAAGUGAAAUCUCUGGGCUUAACCCAGAGGCUGCUCCCGAAACUGCUGUGCUAGAGUGCGAGAGAGGCGAGUGGAAUUGCGGGUGUAGCGG